GAUCCUGGCUCAGGAUGAACGCUAGCUACAGGCUUAACACAUGCAAGUCGAGGGGAAACGAUAUUGGAAGCUUGCUUCCGAUAGGCGUCGACCGGCGCACGGGUGAGUAACGCGUAUCCAACCUGCCCACCACUUGGGGAUAACCUUGCGAAAGUAAGACUAAUACCCAAUGAUAUCUCUAGAAGACAUCUGAAAGAGAUUAAAGAUUUAUCGGUGAUGGAUGGGGAUGCGUCUGAUUAG
RNAcentral lists this ribosomal RNA (240 nucleotides) under uncultured bacterium. Its description in RNAcentral is "partial 16S ribosomal RNA". It matches the Rfam family "Bacterial small subunit ribosomal RNA", at positions 15 to 244 of the family's 1533-position model. The record is from RNAcentral.